Molecule: ribosomal RNA, 404 nt
Filed under: Actinomycetes bacterium
Lineage: Bacteria; Bacillati; Actinomycetota; Actinomycetes
Description: Actinobacteria bacterium partial 16S ribosomal RNA
Rfam family: Bacterial small subunit ribosomal RNA
Source: RNAcentral
UGGGGAAUAUUGGACAAUGGGCGCAAGCCUGAUCCAGCUAUGCCGCGUGAGUGAUGAAGGCCCUAGGGUUGUAAAGCUCUUUCACCGGUGAAGAUAAUGACGGUAACCGGAGAAGAAGCCCCGGCUAACUUCGUGCCAGCAGCCGCGGUAAUACGAAGGGGGCUAGCGUUGUUCGGAUUUACUGGGCGUAAAGCGCACGUAGGCGGACUUUUAAGUCAGGGGUGAAAUCCCGGGGCUCAACCCCGGAACUGCCUUUGAUACUGGAAGUCUUGAGUAUGGUAGAGGUGAAUGGAAUUCCGGGUGUAGAGGUGAAAUACGUAGAUAUUCGGAGAAACACCAGUGGCGAAGGCGGCUCACUGGACCAUUACUGACGCUAAGGUGCGAAAGCGUGGGGAGCAAACAGG